RNAcentral lists this ribosomal RNA (206 nucleotides) under uncultured bacterium. Its description in RNAcentral is "partial 16S ribosomal RNA". It matches the Rfam family "Bacterial small subunit ribosomal RNA", at positions 1288 to 1500 of the family's 1533-position model. The record is from RNAcentral.
UCAGUUCGGACUGGAGUCUGCAACCCGACUCCACGAAGCUGGAUUCGCUAGUAAUCGCGCAUCAGCCACGGCGCGGUGAAUACGUUCCCGGGCCUUGUACACACCGCCCGUCAAGCCAUGGGAGCCGGGGGGUACCUGAAGUGCGUAACCGCGAGGAUCGCCCUAGGGUAAAACUGGUGACUGGGGCUAAGUCGUAACAAGGUACC